Meriones unguiculatus (Mongolian gerbil) is the source of this 1354-nucleotide long non-coding RNA. RefSeq lists it as uncharacterized. The record is from RefSeq and is a predicted model, not a curated record. The transcript has 3 exons. NCBI's taxonomy places the organism in Eukaryota, Metazoa, Chordata, Mammalia, Rodentia, Muridae.
GGGCUGGGCUGGUGGAUGAGCGGGCAAGGGGGCCGCUGCUGGCCAUUCCAGAGGCUCUAUCCACGUCUCCCAUUGCCACUACCACACCCGCCUUAUUAAUGGCGUUGAGGGAACCGCACAGAAGCUGCCCGGCGGCAUAUCCUCUGGCUGCACCUGCGUAUCCAAAGCUACACCCCGGCCUUUCCCCACACACUUCGGAGCCUCUGUAGAGCUAGAAGGUGCAAGCUGCCCCGUCUCGAACGUGCAGCGCCGUCCCUCACCCCCUCAACCACCUGUCUCCGCUUCCCUCCCCCGAAGCCUCUCCAAGUCGCCGCACCCCUGCGCAGCAGCACCGUGUUCGCCGCCUACUGGGAAGUCGAGUCGUGGGGCGCAGUUCAGGUUUGUGCGCCCCGGACUGCGGCCCCUCAGGCCUGCGCCGUCCAGGCCACUGUCCGCGCCCUCCUGCUGCGAGGCGGCAGCGGAGGGUAGGCGCGGCCGGGCCGAGCAAGCAGGGGUCCCGCGCGGCCGCCUUGGCUCAUCCCGUGCCGUAGCUCCUACCUGAGCGGCCGCCUGCUUCCGGCGCUGCACAGUAACCGCGGCCCCGAGGCGCGGCGACUCGCGGAGGCGCAACGCUGCAGACUCGGUUUCGAGAGCUCCGCCCGCUCUUCCCACGCUCCGCGCCCGCGCCGCGCCACCCUGAGGCCAAGUCCGGCGCUGCGCCUGCUGGGAACGCGGUCGCCGCCGCCCAUCUGUGCGAACUGCAGCAGAGGACCUGACCAACAGGGUCCUGGCCAGCAGGCCUGCCCUAAGCCGAGGGCUAAAUCAGAGAUGACCAGUUCUUCACUAGUCCUGGUUCCUCUGACCUUUUCUUCCAGAGUUUCUCUCUCGCGACACCUCUUAAAAGAUCAAGAUGUAGAACUCUCAGUUCCCUCUCCAGCACCGUGCCUGCCUGCAUGAUGCCAUGUGUCUGAUCAUGAUGAUAAUGGACCAACCCUCUGAACUGCUGAAAGCUGUUGGUUGCCACAAGCUCAAGGCCAACGUCAGAUUGUGUUCACCAUCCCUAUGUAUCCAGUUCUCUCCUCUGAAGACGACAUCCUUACUGCCAUUCUGUGACUGGGACAGCCAAUAAACCAUCCCAUAUAUGAGAAACACUUUGCCCUAAACAUUUUAAGAAAGGCAACUCCAGUAGACAGGGGAUAGAUCCAAGUAUUCCCAAAGGGAAAUGGUGCCUCUGAAAAACCAGAGAACUCUCUCUGAGAAUCUUCCCAAAAUGCAAAACCCAAAGCACAGAUCAGACUUCUCACUGGACUCCACCCUCUCCUCCCUACAUCCUCCUGUCUAGCCUUUCCAGCAAUAAAAGUACAUAUUUCAUGUU